Molecule: ribosomal RNA, 495 nt
Filed under: uncultured bacterium
Lineage: Bacteria
Description: bacterial SSU rRNA
Rfam family: Bacterial small subunit ribosomal RNA
Source: RNAcentral
AUGAACGCUAGCGACAGGCCUAACACAUGCAAGUCGAGGGGCAGCACAAGGAGCAAUCUGAGGUGGCGACCGGCGCACGGGUGAGUAACACGUAUGCAACCUGCCUGUAAGCGGGGAAUAACCCGUUGAAAGACGGACUAAUACCGCAUAAUACUAGAUUACUGCAUGGUAAUUUAUUUAAACAUUUAUGGCUUACAGAUGGGCAUGCGCAUGAUUAGCUAGUUGGAGAGGUAACGGCUCCCCAAGGCAACGAUCAUUAGGGGUUCUGAGAGGAAGGUCCCCCACACUGGUACUGAGACACGGACCAGACUCCUACGGGAGGCAGCAGUGAGGAAUAUUGGUCAAUGGACGAGAGUCUGAACCAGCCAAGUCGCGUGCAGGAAGAAUGUCCCUAUGGAUUGUAAACUGCUUUUGCAGGGGAAUAAAGUGCAUCACGUGUGAUGUUUUGUAUGUACUCUGCGAAUAAGGAUCGGCUAACUCCGUGCCAGCCGCAGC